CACAUCUAUCGAGGAAGUUCAAAAAGUCAUUGCUCAUCACAGAGGCUACUUUAAUUUCAAGGUUUUCUUUUACCUCCAUUGAUUAUAAAAGUGAACCAUAUACUAGACCGAGCAUUUUGUUAACUAUAGUUGCAAAAAUAAAUAGCAUAGCCAGAAAAGAGAGUCAGGUGUGUCACAUUUAUUAAAAUAUUUUCAAUUCUUGGCUUUGGCCAAACUGGUGGAGCUGCACCAUGCACCCACUGAUCCCAGAGAUGGAGCUGCACCAGGAGACCCACUGAGCCCAGAGGUAGAGCUGCACCAGGAGACCCACUGAGCCCAGUGGUGGAGCUGCAUGUAACAGUUGUAGUUGCAAACACAGUUAGGAGAGGAAAAGUGUCAGAGGUGGAGCUGCAUCAGGAGACCCACUGAGCCCAGCAGUGGAGCUGCACCAGAAGACCCACUGAGCCCAGAUGUGGAGCUGCACCAGGGGACCUACUUAGCCCAGAGGUGGAGCUGUACUUAGAGCAAUUGUAGUUGCAAGCGCAGUUGAGAGAGAAAAAAAAAGGAGCAGAAGGGAGACUCACUGAGCCCAGAGGUGGAGCUGCACUCGGAGACUCACUGAGCCCAGAGGUGGAGCUGCACCAGGAGACCCACUGAGCCCAGAGGUGGAGCUGCACUAAGAGACUCACUGAGCCCAGAGGUAGAGCUGCAUGUUGAACAAUUGCAGUCAAAAGCACAGCAAUACUCGAUUAUGAAUU
Danio aesculapii is the source of this 737-nucleotide long non-coding RNA. RefSeq lists it as uncharacterized. Lineage: Eukaryota; Metazoa; Chordata; Actinopteri; Cypriniformes; Danionidae. The transcript has 3 exons. The record is from RefSeq and is a predicted model, not a curated record.